GACGAACGCUGGCGGCGUGCUUAACACAUGCAAGUCGAACGGUGACGAGGAGCUUGCUCCUCCGAUCAGUGGCGAACGGGUGAGUAACACGUGAGUAACCUGCCCCAGACCCUGGGAUAACAGUUGGAAACAGCUGCUAAUACCGGAUACGAGACGGAGAGGCAUCUCUACCGUCUGGAAAGAUUUAUCGGUCUGGGAUGGACUCGCGGCCUAUCAGCUUGUUGGUGAGGUAAAGGCUCACCAAGGCGACGACGGGUAGCCGGCCUGAGAGGGCGACCGGCCACACUGGGACUGAGACACGGCCCAGACUCCUACGGGAGGCAGCAGUGGGGAAUAUUGCACAAUGGGCGAAAGCCUGAUGCAGCGACGCCGCGGGAGGGAUGACGGCCUC
This 391-nucleotide ribosomal RNA is filed under the name uncultured bacterium. Its description in RNAcentral is "bacterial SSU rRNA". It matches the Rfam family "Bacterial small subunit ribosomal RNA", at positions 28 to 418 of the family's 1533-position model. The record is from RNAcentral.